RNAcentral lists this microRNA (21 nucleotides) under Lotus japonicus. RNAcentral describes it as "lja-miR11103c-3p". The record is from miRBase by way of RNAcentral. Lineage: Eukaryota; Viridiplantae; Streptophyta; Magnoliopsida; Fabales; Fabaceae.
ACAAAAUUCCACUGGAGACAA